CACAGAAUCACACGCAAUUUGCUGAAGUCUUAUGUUCCAGCGUCGAUCAAAUACGUAAUCCGCAUUAGUGUCGACGGAUAUAGUAAUCGGCGUUGCUCCGUUAAAGUCGACGUAUACUGAAAAUGAAAUCUAAUUAAUUCUCCGUCUUGUUCAAUUUGAAUUUUAAUUAAUCAAUGGAUUUACCAUGCUGAUUAGUAUUUUCUCCGCAUAUUCUCGGUACCGUUGACGAGCCACCAGAUACCAGAAAUACGUCCAAGUCGCAAUAUCCAGUUGCAUUGGGUUGCGCCCAAGUGGCCUCCAAGAAAUCCAAUCGCAACUGUAAAUAUAAAUUACUGUGAUGUAAUAAAGAGAUUUGAAAGGUUGAUACAUAAUGUGCGCGUUACACACCUGACAUAUGUUAGAGUUACAGCGUUGUACCGUGAUCGUGCAUCGUUCUCCUCCUCGAUAGGUAAUUGGAUACCUUGGACUUACGAAUUUGGACGAGAGCAAAGCAGCUGACUAAUAGUACACUGAUCAUGUCUGGAGAUGAAUACUUUAAGAAUUAUAUAUUCUGGUUCUAAGGAGACACCAGUAACGGCAACGGUGUAUGCUCAGGCAAUUAGCAAGUAGCCGAAACCUCGAGUUUACUGUACGUUCAACUGUACGAGAUGUAUAUAAGAUAAUCCUGGUUUGUAUAAUACAAUGACAUAUAUACCGCAUCAGAAAAUAACAUAAUAUACAUUUUUAUAAAUAAAAACAAUUUAUAUAUGUAUUGUUGUCUCAUAAUAUAAUGCUGUACAAUCAUAAUAGAUUUAAAUAGAUACAAAACAUUUUUUUUUUUUUUAACAAUUUGAUAUAAGUAUAUGCAAUCUACAAUAAAUUUCACAUUAUUUCAACCUAUAGUCACAUUCGGCGUUCGACAGAACGGACAAUGUCCGUGUCGUAAUAAUGCUAAUUCAUAGUCAUCCGAAUGAAACAACUGAAAUAUAUAAUAAUUAUAUAAGAUCAUAUAACUCUUCAUGUAAAAUUAUAAGAAAGAAUGAUAGUAAAAAGACCUGUUUUUCGCCCAUUUUAUAGAGUCGAAUUUUGGGACUUCAAAUUUCAAAUUUUUUAAAUGUCAAAUAGUACUAUAUGAUGAGACAUUAAUCCCAGAGAAAUUUCAAGAUGAGCAUAGGCACGGUUCCUUAGAUAUGAAGAAGUGAAAGUGAUAAUUUCUUAUAAAACUGACUAAAAAUCAUCAUUUUCCUCCUUGUAUCUCCGGAACUGUGCCUAUGCUCAUCUUGAAAUUUUACUGGGAUUAAUGUUUCAUCUCAUAGUACUAUUUGCCAUGAAAAAGUUUGAAAUUUGAGGUCCCAAAAAUAGGCGAAAUUUGCCAUCAUCUUUCGUUAGAAUUUUCCUGAUUAAAGUGAUUUUUAAAAUAAGCUUACCUUUAAACAGCACUUGCACAAGCUAAUCUGGAGAUCAGGUAAAAGAUUUCUGAAGUAUCUAGUUUUAAAGGGCUUAGGCCAUUUAAUAAUUAUUACAGUGGACGGAUCCAUACUCUUCAAUAUUCCUCUUCCCACCAAUAUCGUAGAAUUGUUAGAUUUUUCCUGUGGAAAGCAUGUCAUUUUUAAAAUAAAAUAAAUACUUUUCAUAAUUAUA
Molecule: long non-coding RNA, 1620 nt
Organism: Nylanderia fulva
Lineage: Eukaryota; Metazoa; Arthropoda; Insecta; Hymenoptera; Formicidae
Source: RefSeq, a predicted model, not a curated record